Long non-coding RNA from Brassica napus (rape), 1017 nucleotides. RefSeq lists it as uncharacterized. The record is from RefSeq and is a predicted model, not a curated record. Lineage: Eukaryota; Viridiplantae; Streptophyta; Magnoliopsida; Brassicales; Brassicaceae. The transcript is spliced from 4 exons.
AUUUAUCAAAGACACGUCUCCUAAUUAGGAGAAGCAAGGAACGUCUCUUGUGAGACAGGUGUCCAAGUUUGCAGCAGUUUCGUCUCUUUCUCUCCGUGCCUCUCUUCUCUGCUUUCUCUCUUUCUCUUUCUCUCGACGGUGAAUUCUCUUCACAUCAGAUGGCUCUCUGAUUUCUUUCUCUCUUGGUGGCUGUUGUACCUCAUCUCUUCUUCCUCCGUUCUGUUCCGUUCUCCACAAAAAAGAUCCUCGAUUCCGAUCCAUCACCUCUGACUUUAUCAGCGAUUGAAUGGACUCCAUCUCUCCGCUUUCUAAUCAUCAGACGGCAACGAGCUCGAGCUCCGAUCUCUCUCGCCGUAAGCGUAAGAAGAAAUCUCCACCGUCUCCGCCUCCAUCGUUAGAGAAAUGGAGAUCGGAGAAGCACCCACAGAGCGUUAGCCAUCGUUGGAGAAUGGGGUGAUCACGUUACCCUUCAGGCUGCUGCGGAUUGGGUCAGAACAGAAGCUUGUGAAGGAUGGUUUCAUCAUCAGGAAACCAACCAAGAUCCACUCGCCUGAAGAAAUACUAAGAGUCAAAGAAGAUUGACAAGUACAUGUACCAUGAUAUGUACAUGUGUGUUAAGCUAUGUGAGGUUUCAUCUUUGAUUGAAAAAAAAACUAUAUAACUAAACCCAUCUUACAAGAAGCUUGACACGGCACAUGUAGCAGAUGGUGACGAGUUUGAUCAGGUGGCUCGUGCUUCGGCGUUUAGCGUGGGUCUCCUCUACGGGAGCAUGAAGCUCAAGGUCUUGAAGGUAACAACACACUUUCGAUUUGUGAUUUUGUAAUUGUGGAUGUCUUUUAUAAAACCUAAAGAAGAUCUUUUGUGUACACCUUUCAGAAAUUUUCUCUGGCUUGUUUCAACAUCAUGUAUUCAUGUUGCAAAAGGUUUCCUGUUGUUUGCUCAUCUUUGCUUGUAAUGUUUGCAUUCGUUUACAAUGUUAUUCAUUUUCUGAAAACUAGUUUCAUAAUGUUGGCUUUA